Dama dama (fallow deer) is the source of this 339-nucleotide long non-coding RNA. RefSeq lists it as uncharacterized. Lineage: Eukaryota; Metazoa; Chordata; Mammalia; Artiodactyla; Cervidae. The record is from RefSeq and is a predicted model, not a curated record. The transcript is spliced from 3 exons.
AUUAGUUUUUUAAUCCUGAAUUUUUUUUUUUCAGGAUUAUGGUGAAUGAGAAGAAGAAGGCCUUCAUUACCAUGCUAAGAGCAAAAUAAAUCUACAUGAGUGAAGAAUCAUUUGGUGAAUAGGUUGUAGAUGCAAGGAAGCCCUGAUUCACUGAAUUUCAGCCCACCAGGCUCCUCUGUCCAUGGAUUCUCCAGGCAAGAAUACUGGAGUGGGUUGCCAUGCCUUUCUCCAGGGAAUCUUCCUGACCCAGGGAUCGAACCCAUGUCUCUCGAGUCGUCUGCAUUGGCAGAAAUAGAAAUGCAGCUGAAUGUUCAGAUGGAUUCUUAAGGAAUUCCAACU